CAUAAAGAAACCAGAAAAAUAAAUGAGAAAAUGAAGUUGGCUAUUUACUGAAGUAUGAAUACAAAGAAUUGGAAAGGAAUAGGGGAGAAGAUGAGAUUUUUUUAAAGAAUACGUUUUAGAGAAUUUUUCUAUUUUAGGGUUUUACCAUGUUAAAAUAUUACAUAUUCAGAAAAUAAAAUAAUCAAUAGAAAUGAGCAUAACUAGUGACCAGUUCAUGUGCUAUUCUCUGCAGAAGAUUAUCAUUUCUGUAUUGUUUAUGAUAGUAAAAUAAUAGGAACAGAAAUUAAGGCUUAAAAACUUAGAAGUAUCAAAGGAACACAGGCAGCUUGAGGUGGUGCCCACUGACCAAAUUCAGGACUUUGUGAGUCUGAAGUAAAUGGUAAUAAUAACGGAUUGCAUUCAUGAAAAACAAAAAUCACCAUGUUAGUCCAAAAAUUAUUUUUAAAUUUAUUAUGAUUUUUCUUCUCUUCUGAAAAAGGAAAAGUUCUUUAUGGAAGAAUGUCAUGUAGAAAACAUGGAAGGAAUAUUGAAUUAGAAAAGCUACAUUAUCAGCAUAUUCUAUAACCAUUGGGUAAAAGAUGGCUUAGUUUCAAAAUGUUAUGCUUCAGAGUACCAAUUAUUUUUUAAAUCUUUUUUAAUUAAUUUUAUAUUUCUGACAGCAGAAUACAUUACAAUUCACAUUACACAUAUAGAGCAGAAUUAUUCAUAUCUCUGGUUGUAUACAAAGUAAGUUCACACUAAUUUGUGUCUUCAUAUAUAUACUUUGGAUAAUGAUGUCCAUCACAUUCCAUUAUCAUUUCUACCCCCAUGCCCCUUCUCUUCCCCUCCCACCCCUUUGUCCUAUCUAGAGUUCGGCUAUUCCUCCCAUACUCCCCGUCCCUACUCACUAUGAGUCAGCCUCCUUAUAUCAGAACUCAAAAAGCUAAACACACAAAAAAACAAAUAAUCCAAUCAAUAAAUGGGCCAAGGACCUGAACAGACACUUCUCAGAAGAUGAUUUACAAUCAAUCAGCAAAUAUAUGAAAAAAUGUUCAUCAUCUCUAGCAAUUAGAGAAAUGAAAAUCAAAACUACUCUAAGAUUUCAUCUCACUCCAGUCAGAAUGGCAGCUAUCAAGAAUACAAACAACAAUAAAUGUUGGCGAGGAUGUGGAGAAAAAGAUACACUCAUACAUUGCUGGUGGGACUGCAAAUUGAUAUACCCAAUAUGGAAAGCAGUAUGGAGAUUUCUUGGAAAACUGGGAAUGGAACCACCAUUUGACCCAACUAUCCCAUUUCUCUGUCUGUACCCAAAGGACUUAAAAACAGCAUACUGUAGAGACACAGCCACAUCAAUGUUUAUAGCAGCUCAAUUCACAAUAGCUAAACUGUGGAACCAACCUAGAUGCCCUCCAGUAUAUGAAUGGAUUAAAAAAUGUGGUAUAUAUGCACAAUGGAAUAUUACUCAGAAAUAAAAAGAGAAUAAAAUCAUGGCAUUUGCAGGUAAAUGGAUGGAGUUGGAGAAGAUAAUGCUAAGUGAAGUUAGCCAAUCCCAGAGUACCAAUUAUUUGAAAGGGAAAAGAUACUUUUGCAUUAAUGAAGUCUGUUGGACACCACGGUAACCAAGUGAUCCGAUGUAUUCUUUGAAAUGGGACAAACUGACAGCAUGUGCCUCUUACUGAAGAUUCAAUAUAAACUAUAUAACAUUCGCAAAAAAUGCUUAGCCUGAAUCUUAUUAUAACAAAACAAUCAGAAAAAUCCCAAUUCAAGACAUUCUGAAACAUAAUUGACCUGAACUCUUUAAAAUGCCAAUUUCUUUUUUAUGCUUUUAUUUUUUUAUUAUUUUUUUAAUUCACAUAUGACAGUGGAAUACAUUACAAUUCUUUUUUUAAAAAAAUAUUAGUUGUCAAUGGAUCUUUAUUUACAUGUGGUGCUGAGAAUCAAACCCAGUGCCUCACACAUGCUAGGCAAGCACUCUACCACUGAUCUAUAACCCC
RNAcentral lists this long non-coding RNA (1973 nucleotides) under Marmota monax (woodchuck). Lineage: Eukaryota; Metazoa; Chordata; Mammalia; Rodentia; Sciuridae. The record is from RNAcentral.